RNAcentral lists this unclassified non-coding RNA (6037 nucleotides) under Schistocerca americana (American grasshopper). RNAcentral describes it as "protein timeless homolog, transcript variant X1". The record is from RNAcentral. Lineage: Eukaryota; Metazoa; Arthropoda; Insecta; Orthoptera; Acrididae.
UGGCGUGUGGAGUGUUGACGUGAAGUGUAGCGCGGAAAGUGAAUUGCUGGUUUGUGCCUUCCAAACAUUGACACAGAAGUCUACAUGUGUGUGGUGGAAUGAAAUAAACCGUGCAAAACGUAUCAAACGAGAAAAUCUAAAUUUUAUUUGCCAUGUCUUCUUUGUUAUUUGCUGAAUUAGCGGCAACUUGCAAUGCUCUCGGCUUCUCUGAUGGUAGUAAAUACUAUCCGGAUACACACUGUAAAGAGACCGUGAGAGAUCUGAUUCGCUACCUGAGGCGUGACGAUGAAAACCACGAAAUCCGCCGACACUUGGGUGAGGCGCAAGUGCUGCAGACAGACCUCUUGCCCAUCCUCAAACAGGAGUGGAAGGAUUCUGAUCUCUUUGAUGUUGUCAUCAGGCUGCUGGUUAAUCUGACGAAUCCAGCCCUGCUCCUGUACCGGGAAGAGCUUCCUGUAGACAAGGUGUCGAGAAAUUACUACUUGCAAAUCAUAUCACAGUUACAAGCUUACAAGAAGGCUUUCACCGAUUCAGAUGUGUGGGAAGUAAUCAAGAUGAAACUCAGUAAACUCCUUGAGACGGAGUGGGAGGAGCGUGGAGAGGAGAAGAGCCUGAUGAUCGAGCGGAUGCUGAUCCUAGCACGGAACGUGCUGCAGGUGCCGGCCGAUGUUGCUGCAGAGAAGCUCUCUGAUAGUGAACCAAGUGUCCACGACCAGGUACUUUGGGCACUGCACGUCUCAGGCAUGGUCGAUAUCUUCCUGUACCUGGCCAGUUCUGAAAAUGAACAACAAUACUACAUGCAUAUUCUUGAGAUAGUUUCCCUGAUGCUGCGAGAACAGAAGCCGGACGAGCUGGCAGUCGCUGCACCUGAACGCAGCAUCGAGGAGAAGACACGGGACGAGGCGCGGCUUCUGGCAGUGCGUAACGAGGAGAUACGCCGCCGGCAGGAGCUGGAAAGACGUUUCCGAGGAGCCAGGCAUUCAAGAUUUGGUGGAACAUUUGUACUAAAGGACUUUAAGUCUAUAAGUGACCGCAAUUUGAUCUACCAUAAGCCGUUAAACAAACUUGAUGACUUAACAUUUGACCAUGAAAAGCACAAGGUAAAGACACCAAAGAAUCGCCAACCACUGAAGAGUGAAGUUGUUGAACGGAGAUCUGCAUACAGUGUUCGCCUCUUCCUAAAAGAAUUCUGUUCUGAAUUUCUGAUCGGAGCAUACAACACUCUGAUGUACCAUGUCAAAAGCAACCUGGUGCGAGCUAAAACUCAAGCAAAUGACGAGUCCUAUUAUCUGUGGGCGAUGAAAUUUUUCAUGGAGUUUAACAGGAACUACAAGUUCCAAGUGAAGCUUGUCAGUGAGACAAUGUCGGUUCAAACAUUCCACUUUGUGCAAACCCAGAUGGAAAGCUGCUACGCCAACAUGGUAUGCGACAAGAAGAAAAUUUCACUCUGGUCUCGCCGUAUGCAUGUGGCGCUGAAGGCCUACCAGGAACUUCUGAUGACCUUAAUAGCCAUGGACAAGUCUGACGAUGCAGUGGUGAGGAACUCCUCAAGAGUCAUAAAGAGCAAUAUCUUCUAUGUCAUUGAAUACCGAGAGCUCAUUUUCACAUUGCUGAUUAAUUUCUCAGAAACAAAAAUGUCAAGGGCCUACUUGCGAGACCUGGUAGUGACUGCACACAUCUUCCUCAGGAUGCUGGAGCAGUUUUCCGCAAAGGGAACAAUUGUGGUACAGAAACCAGUGAGAUCGAAGCCAAAGCGCAAGAAGAAGCCAGCGACAGUCACGGCCCCACCUGUCGAACCCAGGCCACCGGCAGAGGUCUGGGACGAAGAACUGGGGCCUCAGAUGUCUGUAGCUCUACAGCAUACAACAGAACUUCCUGUGGCAGUGCCUUUUGAUGUCGCGUCAGAAAAAGAAAUUGAUGAUCAGAAGUCUGACUGUGUGAAGAAGAUCCAGCGACUUCUUAGGCAAAGUGAAUUCGAAAUGGCCAUAGCCCUGCUCAGGGCAGCAAGGGAAGUGUGGCCAGAAAACGAUGUUUUUGGUGCAGCUAAUGCUUCACUCACUGACGAGUAUGAUAUCUUCAGGGACAUUUAUAUUGCAGACUUGAAUCAGCCGCUCGAAGAGCCAGCUAGCGAGCAACAGCCGGAGCAAAAUGAAGACGCUGACGAUGAAGAAGAUGAAGAAGAUGAUGAGGAAGAAGAUGCAGAAGACGAGGGCAGCACAGCUAUAUCAGAGCAGUCAUUUCAGUUCAUGGACUUCAUGAAAAGGUUUGCACAUCCAAAUGUGGUGCAAUCGUGCACAAUAGUGCUGUCAGAGUUUGACCGGAACACUCCGACAGUGAACCACAGUGCCCUCAAAAUCCUGCACCGCAUAGGCUGGGACUGCAAGAUGUACGUGCUCCUCUUUCAGGUGUCGCUUUUCCGCAUCUUCCAGAGAGUGCUGGACUCCAGCCAGCCUGAACACAAGGAAUUGGCAAAGUUUGCAAUUUUCAUAAUAAGAAAGUUUGCCGAAGUUGCAAAGAAUAACCCAAAAGUAUACAUGGAACUGCUGUUCUGGAAGACUUCUAAAGAGGCAUAUGAAGUUGAAUACGGCUAUGGCAGUUACCAAGACAAGUCAGCUGCAGCUAAGAAGGCAUGGUCGGAAGAGGAGGAGAAUGAGCUGCGAGUCUUGUACGAGGAGUACAUGAAAACACCAGACACCAAUGGCCUCGACGUUUUGGAUUUCAUUAUGAAGAACAUGAUAAGCCAAGAUCGUUCCCGUCGUGGAGUUACGAAGAAGAUGAGAGAGAUGGGAUUCAUUUUGCCCAAAGCUGGCAGUCGCAAGGUCGGUGGCAGUUCACGACCUCCGAAAGAGUGGUCUGAAGCUGAAGAAGCGCAGCUGAGGCAGUUUUUUGAAGAAUUCAAAGACGCUAUGGAUCCUUUGGACUGUAUAUUGGCUCGACUGGAUGUGAAGAGACCUAAGAACCGAGUAAAGGAUAAAAUAGUCGAGCUGGGUCUCGUCGCAGACAGAAAGGAGCUUCGCAAGAAACGGGCACGCAAGUCUGACGGUGCUCCUGGAAAAAGUCGUCACAAAUCAAGGAACGCGAGCAACAGUGAAGGUGAGAGUGGCAGUGACCGCACCGGCGACUCCUCCGACUCAGAGUCUGACGGCAGCAGGAGUAGGAGUGCGUCUCCACCCCCACGUGCCAAGCAGCGUCCCACAGUGCCUGCGAAGAAGCGGCAGGGGGGCCAGGCGACGGGGGCGGCGAGGAAGCCGCGCGGCACUGCGGGGAAGAGUACCAGGAAGCCGGUUGCAGUCUCUACGGCAGAGCUUGCCAGUAUACUGCGGGAUCUCGUGGAUAAAGGUAUGUCAGAGGCUCUGAAGUGGAUAUCAUCGAGCCUCGAAGAGGAAGCAGUAGACAGGGAGUCGACAGCUUCGGGUGAUGCACUUCCGGUUCCCCUGCUGCCGAUCAACGAGGCAGAGAUCGUUGCUGUCGACGACCCAACGUUCCUGAAGCUGCUGUCGGCACUCGCCCUCAAUCCUCCAGUGGAAGGGCAGGAAGUUUACUGGCGCAUUCCAGGAGAACUUAGCAGCGCUGAGUUGAGGUCGAGAAUAGCAGUGAUAAACAUGGCAGUUGAGGGGCGACUACCUCCAGAGGGUGAAAGCCAAGCGAAUGAAGAAAGUGCCGUACCAGGAAAUAGCAGGGAGGAUGGGGUGGAGGUCGACAGCCAGGAAGAUGUGGGGGCGUGGCUGGCACAGAAUGUCCUUCAGGGCUCCGGCGACGAGUCUGCAGGCGAGGAAGUAGCACCCCCACUUGUCAAUAACUACAUGACUCCCUGGAGCCAGAACAUGCGGAAAGCAGCGAGGGAGGCUGCACUGGCAGAGAAGGGGCUAAGGCCGAGUGGAAAAGAAAUUCCUUCAUCGCGUGCUGGUGGGAAGAAGACUAGAAUCCGCAUAGAAUCAGAUUCAGACUCUGAUUCUGAUGUCCCGUUAAGCAAUUUUUCUGACAGUGCUUCAGCAUUACUGUCAGGAAGAGAAGAGUCUGGAGACAUUACAAGAGACAGGGAGAACAACAAGGAAGCCUCAGGAAGCACCAAACGUCGCCAGGGUAAAAGAUCGCGACUGUCUUCAGGUUCCGACACCGCUGCCAGUGUCCCUCCAAUGGGAUCGGGAUCGAGCAGGGAGCCAGAACAGCACGAUGCGUAUGAAACUGGCAGCCAAUCGUCGAAGCAAGAUGUGAGGCACAGGAAACGCAGGAUCAGAGUAUCCUCAGAUUCGGAGACAGAAGAAGCUACACCUCUUUCCGCUUUGAUGGUACCUGGUGAAGAAUCUACUGCAGCAAAAUCUCUUGAAAGUGGUACAAAGCAGAAUGGGUUUCUAGAUUCUGAUUCGGACAGUGAUUUGCCAAGGGGUGGAGGUGAGAAUGCUACCUCUGAAACUGCUAAGAGGACAGCACAUACGGACUCUGAUGAAGAAGGUAGGCAAGUGAAGAAGGUUCGACGGGCUGUCAUAAUUGAUGAUGAUGAUGACUGAUCAAACUUGCAGAUAUUUGAACAGUGCAUUGUGACUGAUACUUAACAAGAAUUAUGACUGCAUCCAAUUAACUUCUUUGUAUUUAAAAAUUUCUAUCAUUUGCUGCAAGUAGUAUUUAUAUAUUCUGAUGAACCAAGGAAAGCAAUACUCAUGCUGCCUUGUCAUAGUAACAAAUGAUGUGUUCAGCUAUUCAGCAAGAUGCACCUUUAAUAGUUUUAAAUUUUUCUAUAAAAAUCUGUCUUAUAAUAAGAUGUCACUUCACAGAUGUCAUCACUAUUGCCUGUAAUUUUUAAUUUCCUCAUGUUGUCUGUGUUUCAUUUAAAAAAAUGAAAUAACUGUGUAAAUCAAACAGUGGUAAAUCCAGGAUUGAAUAAUGAUGGUAUUUUGAAAAGGAUAGAUUGCUACACACCAUAUAAAGGAGAUGAUGAGUUGCAGACAGGCACAACAAAAAUAGUGUUACAUGUGUGAGCUUUUAGCCAAAAGACCUCCUAAAGUAGAACACGUAUACAAUCACCCAAGCACAACUCACACACGCGUGACCGCUGUCUAUGGCCACUUGAUCACUUCAAGUUGUAAGAUUGCAAUGAUAGUUUAGGAUUCAUAUUGAUAUUUGCUAUUCAGUUUUCACUUACACCACUGCAAGUUUCUAAUUAUGCUGAUCAUCAGCUUUGUCGAUCUGGAAAUCUACAUCUACCUUGCAUGACCACACUGAGUCUAACCUCAGUGGCCAGAGACAGUGACCAGGUGUGUGCGAGUUGUGCUUGCGUGAAUGUGUGUGUUGUUUGCUUUAGAAUUAGGCCUUUUGGCCAAAAAGCUCACAUGUUUAGCUGUCUUUUUGUUGUGCCACUCAACAUCUCUAUAUGGUGAGUAGCAGUCUAUCCUCUCAAUAAUUAAUAACAGCGUCUUUUUCAAAUGACGAAAAUCAUUAUCAGUAUUAGUUUUUGGUUAACUAUCCUUACAUUUCCUGUUUAUUUACCUCAGUUUUUACCUUCGACCAUCAUACAAUAGAUGUUCUGUAGAUUUUUAUGUCAGUCGUAACACAAAUUCUUUACAGUAUUUCAGGUUCCUGUCAUGUUUUUCCUUGUGUUUUUGUAAAAUUUUAUAUGUAAACAUUUUCUGUAUGCUUUGCUUUUAACCCUCUUAGCUCUGGAUACAGACAGUAUAAAAAAAUAAAAAUUUUCUUUGGGUAUAUGUUAUAUGAAAUGCUGACAUAAUACUUCUUGCAUAUAUGUGCUGGUUCUGCCCUUGUACUUGACUCCAAGACAAAAUUUUUGUGGUGGAAUGAAGCAAUGGAAACAUGUUUUAGAUUUAUAUAUAGUUAUAUUAUCUUAAGCAUUGAUGAUGACAAUGUUGGUAUUCGGUGAUUUUUCAUGUACAACACAAAGCCAGGAAAUGUUAAUACUGUCUUAAUUACUGGCCAUUGCUUGGUACUAUUUAGUUAUUAAUUUUAAAUGUGUUUUAGUUUUAUACUGUACUUUUAAUUCAUGUUUGUUAUACUCAGUUUUUAAAUUGCAAAUAAAGGUACACUU